This 553-nucleotide small RNA is filed under the name Pongo abelii (Sumatran orangutan). RNAcentral's name for it is "retained intron". Lineage: Eukaryota; Metazoa; Chordata; Mammalia; Primates; Hominidae. The record is from RNAcentral.
GUUCUUCCGGUGGCGGAGCGGCGGAUUAGCCUGCGCGGGGCAAAAUGGAGCUCGAGGCUAUGAGCAGAUAUACCAGCCCAGUGAACCCAGCUGUCUUCCCCCAUCUGACUGUGGUGCUUUUGGCCAUCGGCAUGUUCUUCACCGCCUGGUUCUUCGUGUAUCCUUUCACUGAGCAGCCAGAGGACCAGCAUUAGUGAUGUGGGAAGCUCAGGGAGAAACCACGCUAGGUACAUGGACCCCGCCGGUUUUGUACAUUGGAUUGGGGCUGAGAGAAGGUAAGGAGGAGAGGAGGGCUGGUGAUGCCCAGGGGCAGGUUAUGGCCUUAUUUCCCAAGUUCAGGUGAGCUCAGUUUGUUCUUUGGAUUUCCAAGACGGUGAGCAGGGGGCCUGGCUGGAGUGGAGGUGGGGAAUAGGGGUGCUACAGUUGGAAAGGUGGUGUAAGGAAGGGUGCACUCAGGUGUCAGGAGGUCUGAGGGCUAGUCCCAGCUCUGGCCCUCAUAAGCUGUGUGACCUGGGGCAAGUGACCUAACUCCUCUGGGUCUCAUUUUCUUCAU